Long non-coding RNA from Eufriesea mexicana, 1088 nucleotides. RefSeq lists it as uncharacterized. The record is from RefSeq and is a predicted model, not a curated record. Lineage: Eukaryota; Metazoa; Arthropoda; Insecta; Hymenoptera; Apidae. The transcript is spliced from 3 exons.
UGUUCCGCGCGCGAAGACACGAUCUACCGUGAGUCGAAUCGGGAAUCAACGUCGUACCGACUCUCGCGUAUACCUUCUUAUCGCGAUGAUGGUCCAUUCGACGCCGAAGAGGGCUGCGUUUCGAGCUAGAUAUCGGCGAGCAUAAUUGGUAACGAAAACAGAGCUAAUCGGGAGAAUCUCGUAGCGUACGCACACGCGUACGUGUACGCGAGGAUAUCGAGGGCGUAUCGCUGCGCGUUAUUUCAAUUUGCAUGGUGGCGGGUAAUCGCGUUCCCAGAACUAAUUUAGCCGUAUCGGACGGGGGACACGGUCCGUGAUCGUAAGCCAGAUAACAUUGCAGAUGAUUAUCGGACGGCGCGAUUUCUUGCCGGCCGGAAACCACGUUCUACCGUGUACGCCAUUGUAUGGUAAUCGCCCUUCACGAAAUCUGAAGUGGAAAAAAGGAACGAAAAGUGGGAGAAGUCAUUGCGCAAUUCAUCGUCGGUCUUCCCCUCUGUCUGCUUCCAUUCAUACGCAGGAGUCAUAGAGAGAGAGAGAGAGAGAGAGAGAGAGAGAGAGAGAGACAGCGAGAGCAACGCUACGACGCACGUGGGAUAUAGCAACCGGAGAUAACGCUUCCAGAUUCUCAUUCGAUUGCGCCACAAAUUAAAAGAAUUAAUGAGCAACGUCGUGGCUCGUGACGACAGCUGCUAUAGCGUUCGAGAGUCGAGAGGGUAAUUGCGUUAGUCUUGACGUUUAUUUUACGACUGCCUUUCGUGCUCGGUUAACCCGGACGUGUAACAAUCGUUUUCGUCGGAACACGCGGAAAGAGUUAUCGGCGAAAUGAACGGGGCAGUUUUCAUCUCAAGGUCAAUUCGGUCAGCCUCACCUCCAAGAGGAUCGAGGAUGGUUGCGAGCAAGAGGAUCGAGAAAGUCGAGCAAUCGUAAUAGCGAGCUGUCAAGUUCGAUUGUCUAGGACAGCGAAUGGCAUUGGGAUAACUGUUCGGCGGGAAAGAAAGGCGAAUAGAAAAUAUUUGAAUUUCUUUUAGGCGGUUUCGCGUCACAGCGCUACCACAAGAAGCUUUUUACCACGGCGAUCCAAUUGAUUC